AGAGUUUGAUCCUGGCUCAGGACGAACGUUGGCGGCGUGCUUAACACAUGCAAGUCGAGCGGGGCUUAGUAGAAAGUUUACUUUUUAUUUUGUCUAGCGGCGGACGGGUGAGUAACGCGUGGAUAAUCUGCCUGUAAGACAGGGAUAACGCCGGGAAACCGGUGCUAAUACCCGAUAGGUUGAGCAGAAGAGAAAAGGUGGCCUCUUUACAAUGCUACCACUUAUAGAUGAGUCUGCGGACCAUUAGCUAGUUGGUAGGGUAAAGGCCUACCAAAGCUACGAUCGUUAGCGGGUCUGAGAGGAUGACCCGCCACACUGGAACUGAAAUACGGACCAGACUCCUACGGGAGGCAGCAGUGGGGAAUCUUCGACAAUGGGGGCAACCCUGAUCGAGCAAUGCCGCGUGGAGGAUGAAGGCUUUCGGGUCGUACGAUCUUCCAUAAAUAAUGGCGAUAAAUGACGGUACAAUAAGAGGAAGCCACGGCUAACUACGUGCCAGCAGCCGCGGUAAUACGUAGGUGGCAAACGUUGUCCGGAAUUACUGGGCGUAAAGGGCGAGUAGGUGGUUUAUUAAGUCAGAAGUGAAAACUCCGGGCUCAACUUGGAGACUGCUUCUGAAACUGGUAAACUUGAGUGCAGGAGAGGGAAGUGGAAUUCCUAGUGUAGCGGUGAAAUGCGUAGAUAUUAGGAGGAACACCAGUGGCGAAGGCGACUUCCUGGCUUGUAACUGACACUGAGGCGCGAAAGCGUGGGGAUCAAACAGGAUUAGAUACCCUGGUAGUCCACGCCGUAAACGAUGAGUGCUAGGUGUCGGGGGUAUCGACCCCCUCGGUGCCACAGCUAACGCAAUAAGCACUCCGCCUGGGGAGUACGGUCGCAAGACUGAAACUCAAAGGAAUUGACGGGGGCCCGCACAAGCGGUGGAGUAUGUGGUUUAAUUCGACGCAACGCGAAGAACCUUACCAAGGCUUGACAUCCUGUGACAGCUAUAGAAAUAUAGUCUUCUUAGUUUACUAAGACACAGAGACAGGUGGUGCAUGGUUGUCGUCAGCUCGUGUCGUGAGAUGUUGGGUUAAGUCCCGCAACGAGCGCAACCCCUACAGCUAGUUGCCAGCACGUAAUGGUGGGAACUCUAGCAGAACUGCCGUUGACAAAACGGAGGAAGGUGGGGAUGACGUCAAAUCAUCAUGCCCCUUAUGUCCAGGGCCACACACGUGCUACAAUGGCCUGAACAGAGGGUUGCAAAGCCGCGAGGCAGAGCUAAUCUCUUAAAACCGGGCCAAGUUCAGAUCGGAGGCUGCAAUUCGGCUUCCGUGAAGCCGGAAUCGCUAGUAAACGCAGAUCAUCAUGCUGCGUUGAAUACGUUCUCGGGCCUUGUACACACCGCCCGUCACACCAUGGGAGCCAGUAACACCCGAAGCCGGUGAGCUAACUUAACGGAGGCAGCUGUCGAAGGUGGGAUUGGUGACUGGGGUGAAGUCGUAACAAGGUAACC
Molecule: ribosomal RNA, 1495 nt
Filed under: uncultured bacterium
Lineage: Bacteria
Description: 16S ribosomal RNA
Rfam family: Bacterial small subunit ribosomal RNA
Source: RNAcentral